Molecule: transfer RNA, 87 nt
Filed under: Bacteroidales bacterium
Lineage: Bacteria; Pseudomonadati; Bacteroidota; Bacteroidia; Bacteroidales
Also listed under: 1 other name
Description: tRNA-Ser
Rfam family: tRNA
About the family: Transfer RNA (tRNA) molecules are approximately 80 nucleotides in length.
Source: RNAcentral
GGAAAGCUGCCGGAGUGGCUGAACGGGCUUGACUCGAAAUCAAGUGUACGGGUUACCGUACCGGGGGUUCGAAUCCCUCGCUUUCCG